RNAcentral lists this unclassified non-coding RNA (264 nucleotides) under Ascomycota sp. Its description in RNAcentral is "partial contains small subunit ribosomal RNA, internal transcribed spacer 1, and 5.8S ribosomal RNA". The stretch from base 1 to 47 matches the Rfam family "Eukaryotic small subunit ribosomal RNA", at positions 1785 to 1831 of the family's 1831-position model. The record is from RNAcentral. Lineage: Eukaryota; Fungi; Ascomycota.
AAAGUCGUAACAAGGUCUCCGUUGGUGAACCAGCGGAGGGAUCAUUACCGAGUUUACAACUCCCAAACCCCAAUGUGAACAUUACCUUUACUGUUGCUUCGGCGGGAUCGCCCCGGGCGCGGCCGAGAGGCCCAGCCCCGGAUCCAACGUGCGCCCGCCGGAGGACCCCAGACUCCAUGUUUCUUACAAGGUAUCUCUGAGCUGCUCCUAGCGAGCAAAACAAAAAAUGAAUCAAAACUUUCAACAACGGAUCUCUUGGUUCUG